RNAcentral lists this ribosomal RNA (279 nucleotides) under Salmonella enterica subsp. enterica serovar Kentucky. RNAcentral describes it as "partial 16S ribosomal RNA". It matches the Rfam family "Bacterial small subunit ribosomal RNA", at positions 1 to 276 of the family's 1533-position model. The record is from RNAcentral. Lineage: Bacteria; Pseudomonadati; Pseudomonadota; Gammaproteobacteria; Enterobacterales; Enterobacteriaceae.
AAAUUGAAGAGUUUGAUCAUGGCUCAGAUUGAACGCUGGCGGCAGGCCUAACACAUGCAAGUCGAACGGUAACAGGAAGCAGCUUGCUGCUUUGCUGACGAGUGGCGGACGGGUGAGUAAUGUCUGGGAAACUGCCUGAUGGAGGGGGAUAACUACUGGAAACGGUGGCUAAUACCGCAUAACGUCGCAAGACCAAAGAGGGGGACCUUCGGGCCUCUUGCCAUCAGAUGUGCCCAGAUGGGAUUAGCUGGUUGGUGAGGUAACGGCUCACCAAGGCGA